GGAUGAACGCUAGCGAUAGGCUUAACACAUGCAAGUCGAGGGGUAACGUGUUGGAAGCUUGCUUCCGAUGACGACGACCGGCGGAUGGGUGCGUAACGCGUAUGCAACUUGCCUCACAGUGGAGAAUAACCCGGAGAAAUCCGGACUAAUACUCCAUACACUCUUAAGUACGCCUGUACAUGAGAGGAAAGAUUUAUCGCUGUGAGAUAGGCAUGCGUCCUAUUAGGUAGUUGGUGAGGUAACGGCUCACCAAGCCGACGAUAGGUAGGGGUGCUGAGAGGCAGAUCCCCCACAUUGGGACUGAGACACGGCCCAAACUCCUACGGGAGGCAGCAGUGAGGAAUAUUGGUCAAUGGAGGAAACUCUGAACCAGCCAAGUCGCGUGAAGGAAGAAUGUCCUAAGGAUUGUAAACUUCUUUAGCGAGCGAGUAAGGACUUCCACGUGAUGGGAGUUUGAAAGUAGCUCGAGAAUAAGUAUCGGCUAACUCCGUG
This 492-nucleotide ribosomal RNA is filed under the name uncultured bacterium. RNAcentral's name for it is "partial 16S ribosomal RNA". It matches the Rfam family "Bacterial small subunit ribosomal RNA", at positions 27 to 507 of the family's 1533-position model. The record is from RNAcentral.